UCCCUUCCUGCCCCCUCUGGAUACAGGAGGUGGUGCCCAGGUUUUCACAGAUCUGGAGGGCCCUCGAGUAGCGAGAGCCUGGGUGCUCAGCUUAUCACUGCUACUUGCAUUCAGAGGUGGAGGGUGAAGCAAGCCUCUCGAAGAGGAAAGCAGUGUUGACCUCAAGGCCCCCGGCGGAACGCAGGGAGGCUGCUGGGUGAGGACAUAGGGAGACAGCUGGGGGCAAAUUCACAACCAGAGAACAUUCUUCAGGAUUUUCAACUGUCUUUUUUAUUUUCCCCCUCCAGCAAUGAAUAGGGAGAACCCCAGACUGUGGUAAAAAUAGCUCACGCUCUUCCUCAAACCUGUCUGGCUUGCGUUUGUGGAAAGUUUAGGGGAAAGAGUCACAUUUGAAACUGGAAUUUAUUUUGAGCCAGUCAUGCUGACAGGAGCUCAGUUCUGGGUAGAGAAAGCAGCUUCCCAGCAUAGAAACCGGCUUCAUCUUUUUUUUUUUUCUCUCUCUCUCUCUAACUCCUCCCAAAGUCAUGUCUGAUUCUUUGCCACCCUGCGGACUGUAGCCCACCAAGCUCCUCCGUCCAUGAGUUCUCCAGGCAAGAAUACUGGAAUGGACUGCCAUUACCUUCUCCAGGGGAACUUCCCAACCCCGGGAUCGAACCCAGGUCUCCUGCAUUGCAGACGGAUUCUUUACCAACUGAGACACCAGGAAAGCCCCCAAAGUAUUCCUUCAUAUUUUUGUUACAGUGAAAAACUAGAUGUAAGGCAGAAUAAUCAUGUGUGUUUGUCUCUACAGGGAGCAGGUUUCCCGAGAAGCUUUGAAGAGGCAGAGGUUACGUGGAUGCGGUGGCCCUGGACAGGGGGGGUCUCCUUGGACCUGAAAGCAGUUUGAGGCUCCGUCUGCGGAAAUCAAAGGUCACCCAAGAUUUCACCAAGUUCACAGAUGACUGAUGUUCUCCUGGUUGCCCCUGACUCACAGCUGUGUCCCCUCUGAAUUCGUUCGGUCUGUGUCCAUCCUGUUGACCACACCUACUGCCUCCUUCUUAUAACACAUCAACUGAGAUAUAGGAUUCAGCCCCAUACAGGAUUAAUCAGCACGCAUGCACUCCACUCACACUGUCUCCUGUGUGUGUGUGUGUGUGUGUGUGUGUGUGUGUGUGUGAGAGACUUCAC
This 1167-nucleotide long non-coding RNA is filed under the name Capra hircus (goat). RNAcentral describes it as "lncRNA (ENSCHIG00000002032.1)". Lineage: Eukaryota; Metazoa; Chordata; Mammalia; Artiodactyla; Bovidae. The record is from RNAcentral.